Molecule: ribosomal RNA, 253 nt
Filed under: uncultured bacterium
Lineage: Bacteria
Description: partial 16S ribosomal RNA
Rfam family: Bacterial small subunit ribosomal RNA
Source: RNAcentral
UACGGGGGGGGCAAGCGUUGUUCGGAAUUACUGGGCGUAAAGGGCUCGUAGGCGGCCAACUAAGUCAGACGUGAAAUCCCCAAGCUUAACCUGGGAACUGCGUCUGAUACUGGAUGGCUUGAAUUCGGGAGAGGGAUGCAGAAUUCCAGGUGUAGCGGUGAAAUGCGUAGAUAUCUGGAGGAAUACCGGUGGCGAAGGCGGCAUCCUGGACCGACAUUGACGCUGAGGAGCGAAAGCGAGGGGAGCAAACGGG